This 2379-nucleotide ribosomal RNA is filed under the name Escherichia coli. RNAcentral describes it as "partial 23S ribosomal RNA". It matches the Rfam family "Bacterial large subunit ribosomal RNA", at positions 583 to 2925 of the family's 2925-position model. Lineage: Bacteria; Pseudomonadati; Pseudomonadota; Gammaproteobacteria; Enterobacterales; Enterobacteriaceae. The record is from RNAcentral.
GCUUAGGCGUGUGACUGCGUACCUUUUGUAUAAUGGGUCAGCGACUUAUAUUCUGUAGCAAGGUUAACCGAAUAGGGGAGCCGAAGGGAAACCGAGUCUUAACUGGGCGUUAAGUUGCAGGGUAUAGACCCGAAACCCGGUGAUCUAGCCAUGGGCAGGUUGAAGGUUGGGUAACACUAACUGGAGGACCGAACCGACUAAUGUUGAAAAAUUAGCGGAUGACUUGUGGCUGGGGGUGAAAGGCCAAUCAAACCGGGAGAUAGCUGGUUCUCCCCGAAAGCUAUUUAGGUAGCGCCUCGUGAAUUCAUCUCCGGGGGUAGAGCACUGUUUCGGCAAGGGGGUCAUCCCGACUUACCAACCCGAUGCAAACUGCGAAUACCGGAGAAUGUUAUCACGGGAGACACACGGCGGGUGCUAACGUCCGUCGUGAAGAGGGAAACAACCCAGACCGCCAGCUAAGGUCCCAAAGUCAUGGUUAAGUGGGAAACGAUGUGGGAAGGCCCAGACAGCCAGGAUGUUGGCUUAGAAGCAGCCAUCAUUUAAAGAAAGCGUAAUAGCUCACUGGUCGAGUCGGCCUGCGCGGAAGAUGUAACGGGGCUAAACCAUGCACCGAAGCUGCGGCAGCGACGCUGAUGCGUUGUUGGGUAGGGGAGCGUUCUGUAAGCCUGCGAAGGUGUGCUGUGAGGCAUGCUGGAGGUAUCAGAAGUGCGAAUGCUGACAUAAGUAACGAUAAAGCGGGUGAAAAGCCCGCUCGCCGGAAGACCAAGGGUUCCUGUCCAACGUUAAUCGGGGCAGGGUGAGUCGACCCCUAAGGCGAGGCCGAAAGGCGUAGUCGAUGGGAAACAGGUUAAUAUUCCUGUACUUGGUGUUACUGCGAAGGGGGGACGGAGAAGGCUAUGUUGGCCGGGCGACGGUUGUCCCGGUUUAAGCGUGUAGGCUGGUUUUCCAGGCAAAUCCGGAAAAUCAAGGCUGAGGCGUGAUGACGAGGCACUACGGUGCUGAAGCAACAAAUGCCCUGCUUCCAGGAAAAGCCUCUAAGCAUCAGGUAACAUCAAAUCGUACCCCAAACCGACACAGGUGGUCAGGUAGAGAAUACCAAGGCGCUUGAGAGAACUCGGGUGAAGGAACUAGGCAAAAUGGUGCCGUAACUUCGGGAGAAGGCACGCUGAUAUGUAGGUGAAGUCCCUUGCGGAUGGAGCUGAAAUCAGUCGAAGAUACCAGCUGGCUGCAACUGUUUAUUAAAAACACAGCACUGUGCAAACACGAAAGUGGACGUAUACGGUGUGACGCCUGCCCGGUGCCGGAAGGUUAAUUGAUGGGGUCAGCGCAAGCGAAGCUCUUGAUCGAAGCCCCGGUAAACGGCGGCCGUAACUAUAACGGUCCUAAGGUAGCGAAAUUCCUUGUCGGGUAAGUUCCGACCUGCACGAAUGGCGUAAUGAUGGCCAGGCUGUCUCCACCCGAGACUCAGUGAAAUUGAACUCGCUGUGAAGAUGCAGUGUACCCGCGGCAAGACGGAAAGACCCCGUGAACCUUUACUAUAGCUUGACACUGAACAUUGAGCCUUGAUGUGUAGGAUAGGUGGGAGGCUUUGAAGUGUGGACGCCAGUCUGCAUGGAGCCGACCUUGAAAUACCACCCUUUAAUGUUUGAUGUUCUAACGUGGACCCGUGAUCCGGGUUGCGGACAGUGUCUGGUGGGUAGUUUGACUGGGGCGGUCUCCUCCUAAAGAGUAACGGAGGAGCACGAAGGUUGGCUAAUCCUGGUCGGACAUCAGGAGGUUAGUGCAAUGGCAUAAGCCAGCUUGACUGCGAGCGUGACGGCGCGAGCAGGUGCGAAAGCAGGUCAUAGUGAUCCGGUGGUUCUGAAUGGAAGGGCCAUCGCUCAACGGAUAAAAGGUACUCCGGGGAUAACAGGCUGAUACCGCCCAAGAGUUCAUAUCGACGGCGGUGUUUGGCACCUCGAUGUCGGCUCAUCACAUCCUGGGGCUGAAGUAGGUCCCAAGGGUAUGGCUGUUCGCCAUUUAAAGUGGUACGCGAGCUGGGUUUAGAACGUCGUGAGACAGUUCGGUCCCUAUCUGCCGUGGGCGCUGGAGAACUGAGGGGGGCUGCUCCUAGUACGAGAGGACCGGAGUGGACGCAUCACUGGUGUUCGGGUUGUCAUGCCAAUGGCACUGCCCGGUAGCUAAAUGCGGAAGAGAUAAGUGCUGAAAGCAUCUAAGCACGAAACUUGCCCCGAGAUGAGUUCUCCCUGACUCCUUGAGAGUCCUGAAGGAACGUUGAAGACGACGACGUUGAUAGGCCGGGUGUGUAAGCGCAGCGAUGCGUUGAGCUAACCGGUACUAAUGAACCGUGAGGCUUAACCUUACAACGCCGAAGCUGUU